GGAUUGGAAAUGGGGGAACCCUGAUCCAGCAAUGCCGCGUGUGUGAAGAAGGCCUGCGGGUUGUAAAGCACUUUCGGUUGGGAAGAAAAGUUUGGCGCCAAUACCGCCGAACCUUGACGUUACUGACAGAAGAAGCACCGGCUAACUCUGUGCCAGCAGCCGCGGUAAUACAGAGGGUGCAAGCGUUAAUCGGAAUCACUGGGCGUAAAGCGUGCGUAGGUGGUCAUGCAAGUCGGGUGUGAAAUCCCCGGGCUUAACCUGGGAACUGCAUUCGAUACUACAUGGCUAGAGUAUGGUAGAGGGAAGUGGAAUUUCCGGUGUAGCGGUGAAAUGCGUAGAUAUCGGAAGGAACACCAAUGGCGAAGGCAGCUUCCUGGACCAAUACUGACACUGAGGCACGAAAGCGUGGGUAGCAAACAGGAUUAGAUACCCUGGUAGUCCACGCCCUAAACGAUGAGAACUAGCCGUUGGGGGAAUUAAAUCUCCUAGUGGCGCAGCUAACGCGUUAAGUUCUCCGCCUGGGGAGUACGGCCGCAAGGUUAAAACUCAAAGGAAUUGACGGA
This 563-nucleotide ribosomal RNA is filed under the name uncultured bacterium. RNAcentral describes it as "bacterial SSU rRNA". It matches the Rfam family "Bacterial small subunit ribosomal RNA", at positions 359 to 917 of the family's 1533-position model. The record is from RNAcentral.